This 1371-nucleotide ribosomal RNA is filed under the name uncultured bacterium. Its description in RNAcentral is "bacterial SSU rRNA". It matches the Rfam family "Bacterial small subunit ribosomal RNA", at positions 28 to 1381 of the family's 1533-position model. The record is from RNAcentral.
GAUGAACGCUGGCGGCGUGCCUAAUACAUGCAAGUCGAGCGAACAGAUAAGGGGCUUGCUCCUUUGAAGUUAGCGGCGGACGGGUGAGUAACACGUGGGUAACCUACCUAUAAGACUGGGAUAACUUCGGGAAACCGGAGCUAAUACCGGAUAACAUUUAGAACCGCAUGGUUCUAAAGUGAAAGAUGGUUUUGCUAUCACUUAUAGAUGGACCCGCGCCGUAUUAGCUAGUUGGUAAGGUAACGGCUUACCAAGGCGACGAUACGUAGCCGACCUGAGAGGGUGAUCGGCCACACUGGAACCGAGACACGGUCCAGACUCCUACGGGAGGCAGCAGUAGGGAAUCUUCCGCAAUGGGCGAAAGCCUGACGGAGCAACGCCGCGUGAGUGAUGAAGGGUUUCGGCUCGUAAAACUCUGUUAUUAGGGAAGAACAAAUGUGUAAGUAACUGUGCACAUCUUGACGGUACCUAAUCAGAAAGCCACGGCUAACUACGUGCCAGCAGCCGCGGUAAUACGUAGGUGGCAAGCGUUAUCCGGAAUUAUUGGGCGUAAAGCGCGCGUAGGCGGUUUCUUAAGUCUGAUGUGAAAGCCCACGGCUCAACCGUGGAGGGUCAUUGGAAACUGGGAAACUUGAGUGCAGAAGAGGAAAGUGGAAUUCCAUGUGUAGCGGUGAAAUGCGCAGAGAUAUGGAGGAACACCAGUGGCGAAGGCGACUUUCUGGUCUGUAACUGACGCUGAUGUGCGAAAGCGUGGGGAUCAAACAGGAUUAGAUACCCUGGUAGUCCACGCCGUAAACGAUGAGUGCUAAGUGUUAGGGGUUUCCGCCCCUUAGUGCUGCAGCUAACGCAUUAAGCACUCCGCCUGGGGAGUACGACCGCAAGGUUGAAACUCAAAGGAAUUGACGGGGACCCGCACAAGCGGUGGAGCAUGUGGUUUAAUUCGAAGCAACGCGAAGAACCUUACCAAAUCUUGACAUCCUUUGAAAACUCUAGAGAUAGAGCCUUCCCCUUCGGGGGACAAAGUGACAGGUGGUGCAUGGUUGUCGUCAGCUCGUGUCGUGAGAUGUUGGGUUAAGUCCCGCAACGAGCGCAACCCUUAAGCUUAGUUGCCAUCAUUAAGUUGGGCACUCUAGGUUGACUGCCGGUGACAAACCGGAGGAAGGUGGGGAUGACGUCAAAUCAUCAUGCCCCUUAUGAUUUGGGCUACACACGUGCUACAAUGGACAAUACAAAGGGCAGCUAAACCGCGAGGUCAUGCAAAUCCCAUAAAGUUGUUCUCAGUUCGGAUUGUAGUCUGCAACUCGACUACAUGAAGCUGGAAUCGCUAGUAAUCGUAGAUCAGCAUGCUACGGUGAAUACGUUCCCGGGUCU